RNAcentral lists this ribosomal RNA (301 nucleotides) under uncultured bacterium. RNAcentral describes it as "partial 16S ribosomal RNA". It matches the Rfam family "Bacterial small subunit ribosomal RNA", at positions 509 to 807 of the family's 1533-position model. The record is from RNAcentral.
CAGUCGCCGCGGUAAUACGUAGGGUGCGAGCGUUAAUCGGAAUUACUGGGCGUAAAGCGUGCGCAGGCGGUUUGUUAAGACCGAUGUGAAAUCCCCGGGCUCAACCUGGGAACUGCAUUGGUGACUGGCAAGCUAGAGUAUGGCAGAGGGGGGUAGAAUUCCACGUGUAGCAGUGAAAUGCGUAGAGAUGUGGAGGAAUACCGAUGGCGAAGGCAGCCCCCUGGGCCAAUACUGACGCUCAUGCACGAAAGCGUGGUGAGCAAACAGGAUUAGAUACCCGUGUAGUCCCUGUCUCUUAUAC